GCGUGGAGGAUGAAGGCCUUCGGGUUGUAAACUCCUGUCAGGUGGGACGAAAGGAGCCCGGUCAAUACCCGGGCUCUCUGACGGUACCUCCAGAGGAAGCCCCGGCUAACUCCGUGCCAGCAGCCGCGGUAAUACGGAGGGGGCGAGCGUUAUUCGGAAUCAUUGGGCGUAAAGGGCGCGUAGGCGGCCCGCUAAGUCAGGGGUGAAAUCCCUCGGCUCAACCGAGGAAUUGCCUCUGAAACUGGCAGGCUUGAGGCCGGGAGAGGGUAGUGGAAUUCCCAGUGUAGCGGUGAAAUGCGU
Molecule: ribosomal RNA, 300 nt
Filed under: uncultured bacterium
Lineage: Bacteria
Description: bacterial SSU rRNA
Rfam family: Bacterial small subunit ribosomal RNA
Source: RNAcentral